Molecule: long non-coding RNA, 407 nt
Organism: Planococcus citri (citrus mealybug)
Lineage: Eukaryota; Metazoa; Arthropoda; Insecta; Hemiptera; Pseudococcidae
Exons: 3
Source: RefSeq, a predicted model, not a curated record
AUUUAUUCCCAGUCGUAAAAAUUCGUUUGACAGUCGUAAUUUGCAUUUCUUUGUGUCUUUAUACGUCUUAUAUUUCAUGGUUAUUUCAACCAAGAUAAUGUGUAAUUUCAAUAAUUUGAUAUUUUUUGUGGUGAUUUUGUUGAUUUGGGCAUCGACAGGAAACUGCUUGAAGUGUUAUGAUUGCACGACAUCCGAUGAUAAAAAUGCUUGUGAUCAUCCAAAUGUUGUUGAAAAAGGUGAUACGGAAUCUGAAAAACAAGUGUGCCUUACAAUUGAGUACACCAGAUCAAAUGAUUCUAAAUCAUUCGCCAUGAGGAAGAUAUUCGGUCUAUCUCCAGAAAAGAAUACUAUCGAGGCUUGCGAAUUAUUCAAGAGUAUUUUAAAUAUCGCUGAAAAUGUCAAGGUGC